GGACUUUUGAGUUAACACUGAAAUGAAUUAAUGCUGAAAUGAAUUAAGACUUUGGGAGACGGUUGAGAAGCCAUGACUCAUUUUAAAAUGUGAGACAUGCCUUUCACCUUCUGCCAUGAUUGUGAGGCCUCUCCAGCCAUGUGGAACUGUGAACACACAUUGUUCAUCCCCUCAGGAGGACACAGCUUUUGAGAUACCAUCUUGGAAGCAG
Molecule: long non-coding RNA, 211 nt
Filed under: Homo sapiens (human)
Lineage: Eukaryota; Metazoa; Chordata; Mammalia; Primates; Hominidae
Description: non-protein coding lnc-FOXD4L6-2:1
Source: RNAcentral